CUGCCAGUCCAGCCCUAGAUUCUCCUGAAUCCCUGCGGUCCCGGCGUCGCUCCGGACGCUGCCAACCUGUUCUCCACCGUCGCUCGACUUCCACCUCUAAGACUCCCACGAAACUCAGGUUGAAUAAUUCAUCAAAUUACACAACUGACGGAGUCUUGCUCUGUCACCCAGGUUGGAAUGCAAUGGCGCGAUCUCACUGACCGAAACCUCCGCCUCUGAGGUUCAAGUGAUUCUCCUGCCUCAGCCUCCUGAGUAGCUGGGAUUACAGAACUCAAGACAUGGCUGCCCAGUGUGUCACAAAGGUGGCGCUGAAUGUUUCCUGUGCCAAUCUUUUGGAUAAAGAUAUAGGGUCAAAGUCAGACCCUUUAUGUGUGUUAUUUUUGAAUACAAGUGGUCAACAGUGGUAUGAGGUUGAGCGCACAGAAAGGAUUAAGAAUUGCUUGAAUCCCCAAUUUUCCAAGACAUUUAUUAUUGAUUACUACUUUGAAGUGGUUCAGAAAUUGAAAUUUGGGGUUUAUGACAUCGACAACAAAACUAUUGAGCUGAGUGAUGAUGACUUCUUAGGGGAAUGUGAAUGUACCCUUGGACAAAUUGUUUCCAGCAAGAAGCUAACUCGACCACUGGUGAUAAAAAAUGGCAGACCUGCAGGAAAAGGGAGCAUUACGAUUUCAGCUGAAGAAAUAAAAGAUAAUAGAGUGGUCUUGUUUGAAAUGGAAGCCAGAAAACUGGAUAAUAAGGAUCUAUUUGGAAAGUCAGACCCAUACCUGGAAUUCCACAAGCAGACAUCUGAUGGAAACUGGCUAAUGGUUCAUCGGACAGAGGUUGUUAAAAACAACUUGAAUCCUGUUUGGAGGCCUUUCAAGAUCUCUCUUAACUCACUGUGUUAUGGAGAUAUGGACAAAACCAUUAAGGUGGAGUGUUAUGAUUAUGACAAUGAUGGGUCACAUGAUCUCAUUGGAACAUUUCAAACCACCAUGACAAAACUGAAAGAAGCCUCCAGAAGCUCACCUGUUGAAUUUGAAUGCAUAAAUGAGAAAAAAAGGCAAAAGAAAAAAAGCUACAAGAAUUCAGGUGUUAUCAGUGUGAAACAGUGUGAGAUUACAGUAGAAUGCACAUUCCUUGACUAUAUAAUGGGAGGAUGUCAGCUGAAUUUUACCGUGGGAGUGGACUUCACUGGCUCCAAUGGUGACCCAAGGUCUCCAGACUCCCUUCAUUACAUCAGCCCCAAUGGCGUUAAUGAGUAUUUGACUGCUCUCUGGUCUGUGGGACUGGUCAUUCAGGAUUAUGAUGCUGAUAAGAUGUUUCCAGCUUUUGGUUUUGGCGCUCAGAUACCUCCUCAGUGGCAGGUAUCACAUGAAUUUCCAAUGAACUUCAACCCAUCCAAUCCCUACUGCAAUGGCUGGAGUGCAAUGGCACGAUCUCGGCUCACUGCAACCUCCUCCUCCCGGGUUCAAGCAAUUCUCCUGCCACAGCCCGCUCCCCCCCGCAACCGAGUAGCUGGGAUUACAGGCGCCUGCCACCAUGCUCGGCUAAUUUUUGUAUUUUUAGUAAAGACGGGGUUUCACCAUGUUGGCCAGGCUGGUCUAGAACUGCUGACCUCCUGUGAUCUACCUGCCUCUGCCUCCCGAAGUGCUGAGAUUAUAGGCAUGAGCCACCGUGCCCAGCCCUAAAUGAAUUAUUUAUACCUUUGUUACUACUGGACUGACUACUAGUAACAUGGACCUUAUGCAUGUAAAAUCACCCCUGCAUAUGAAUUAGUUAUGUUCUCAAAGGUUGUUCAUAAGACUACCUGUUCCUAAGUUCAAAGAAACUAAGAGGAGUUUAUUGGAACUCUUACAUUUUAAGAGAAGAGAGUUGGUUUCCUGAAGCUUUCAAGCCAAGUAUGGUCAUGCACUAAAAAUGACAUUUUAGUCAAGGACAGACCACAUGUAUGACAAUAGGCCCAUAAGAUUUUAAUAUUUUAUUUUUACUGUAAAGACAUAGAAAAGGUACAGUUGCUAUAAUUGCCUACAUUAUUCAGCAUAGCAAUAUGCAGUACAGGUUUUUAACCUAGGAGUAAUAGGCUAUACCAUCUAGGUUUGUGUAAGUAUACUCUAUGAUGUUCAUAUGAUGAUGAAAUCACCUAACGAUGCAUUUCUCGGAAUUUAUCCCCAUUGGUAAGUGACACAUGACUGUAUAUGCUUCUCUUUUUUGUUGAUCUGUGUUCUCUUAGACAUUUUAAAAGCAAGAUACCUGUUUUGAUUUACAUUAAGUUUUUUUUGUGUGUGUGUGGCAAGUAUCUGUGAUGAUCUCAGCAAGUAUUGUUGGAAAUUCUUUAGAAUUUCUGUUAUCCUGUCUGCAUCCUAAAUGCUGUGAUAUUAAGGGCAGAUUCAACAGGUGCUUGUGUGGGAUACAAGUUUCAUCAGCAGAGCUUUGACCAGCAAUGUCAGUCAACUUUCAUUGGGUUGUGCUGUUGUAAUAAACAAUCUCUAAAUCUCAGUGGCUUUAAUGACAACAGUUUAUUUCUUGCUCAUUUUACAUGCAGCUAGGCUGGAGUUCUCUCCAUGUUUCUUAUAUUGGGACUCAGGCUGAAGGAACAGCCUUAUCUGGGAUGUGCUGCUCCUACGGCAGAGGAAAGGAGCAAGAGAGCUGGAAAAAACAGGCAGUAGUUCUUAAGACAUCUCCUUAGGCAUGGGUGUCACAUGCAUUGGUCAAAGCUAAUCAAAUGGUCCUGUCCAACUUUCUAUUAUAAAAUGCACCAGCAGGUCUAGGGGUAAUACCCCUAAACAAACACAUCAGUGCUUCUGCAGCAAAAUGGAUAAGUAACCUGGAAGUGAAUAUUUGGAACUAAUGCAGUCUGUGAUACAAUGAUUAACCUUUAACUUAUUGAAUAAACACUUGUAUCAGUUAAUUAACUAGAAUUAAUAUUAGGUUUAUCGCCAUCUGGUAUUUUUGUAGAACCUCUGGCCAUAUAUGCAAAUGAUUUUUCAUUUUAUUAAUAACUCUUUCUUACCUUUCAUCAUCAGUUGUAUGAUGUGAAACCUUUUUCAUGGUUUUCUAUCAGAGCCACAUUCCCAACAUGUAUUAAAAAUUAAGCACAGAUGUAACAGUCCUACCGUAGACUAAUAAGUAAUUUGACUGAGAUGAAAGUAAAUCCCUUCUAUUGGGGGAGGACAGAGCUUAUAGGUUUUUGCAAUGGAUCAUACCUAUGGAGUUAUGUAAUACAUAGCUUAGAGGAACUACUGCUUAUAGAACUUUUGACUAUUUAAAGCACUAUAUGUUGAUACAUAUAAUCAAAUUAGCCAGUAUUGUGAAUAAACACAUUGUGCUUGAGAAUUUUUAGUACUGUUUUUUAUUUGUUUGUUUGUUCUAGGAAUCCAAGGCAUUGUAGAGGCGUAUCGGUCUUGUCUUCCUCAGAUAAAACUCUAUGGACCAACUAAUUUUUCUCCAAUCAUAAAUCACGUGGCCAGGUUUGCUGCUGCAGCCACGCAACAGCAGACAGCUUCUCAAUAUUUUGUGCUUUUGAUUAUUACUGAUGGUGUGAUCACAGACCUUGAUGAAACCAGACAAGCUAUAGUUAAUGCCUCCAGGCUGCCUAUGUCCAUCAUAAUUGUUGGAGUUGGAGGUGCUGACUUCAGCGCCAUGGAGUUUCUGGAUGGUGAUGGUGGAAGUCUCCGCUCCCCAUCGGGCGAAGUGGCCAUCAGAGAUAUUGUCCAGUUUGUGCCUUUCAGACAGUUCCAGAAUGCUCCAAAAGAAGCACUUGCUCAGUGUGUCUUGGCAGAGAUUCCCCAGCAGGUGGUGGGCUACUUCAAUACAUACAAACUCCUUCCUCCCAAGAACCCAGCCACGAAACAACAGAAGCAGUGACCACUUCAACAGAAUUCUUUUGUGUUAUGUGGAGCAAUGCCAUCUCUCACCCCAAAUCAUGUAUCUGUCAUUCUAUGUACUUUUUACCCCCAGCAUUUAUGAUGUAAAUCUCUUUCUCUAUGGAUUAUAUCUGUUUAAAGCAUUCUUUCUAGGUUAUUUUGGGGGGACAGUGCCAAGUCCAUCUUUGCCCAAUCAAUUCAGUGAUUGAUAGCGAUUUACAUUAAUUGCAGUAAAGCUCUUUGGAUUAGAAAUUAGUGUGGGGAAAGCUUAUUCUGUUGUUGUUUUUGUUUACUUUCAUAUGAUGAAAAUGCUGUUUUUAAGUGUUUGUCAAUAGGAAGAAUGGAAAACUGUCGGGAUGAUGUGGUUUGCAGGUUGCUGUGCCUGAUUCACAGUGUAUGUUGUAUAAGCCAAUGUCCAUACCUGAUUAUGAGAGCUUCUUAAAUUAUAUGAUAUCAAAUUUGUUCCUGUUACUCUGUAUACAGUGCUUUUCUGCAAGGUAAAAAUUACCUGUCUGUGCAUCUGAUUUUUGCUACAGUUUAGACCCUGUGGUUUACAAAACAGCAUGCACUCAACUUGGGACUUUAUGAAAAGUACUGAAUGAGCAGGAAAAAGCACAUACUCAGUUUUUUAAAUGUACAAUCAACAAGUAAAAAUAACCUCAUGUAAGUAAGCCAUUUUUAUUUGCCUUUCUAGAUAUUUUAUUUUAUUGUGGAAAACUGUAAACAUGGUCAGAUUUGGCUUUUUUUUUUUCAUUAACUGAGCAAGACUUUCAGGAUAUUGUAGAUGCACGGAUGGUAGGUUGUCCUGAAUUCUACAUUAUUAGAUUACUUUAAUUGAGAUUUGUUAAAAUGGUUAGGACUGUUUUGUCCAGGAAAGAUAAGAGGACCAAACAUAUAAGGUGAAAUUCAGAAUUCCAUUUCCUUCUAACUAAUGAAAAACUGCUUACUAAAAAAAAAUUUUAUACUUUCCUUGCUAAGGUCCCAUACACUGAUUUGUACAGAUCCACUUAGUCAUUUUCUCCUUUUUUUAAGUACCAUUUUCAUCUCAUUUUUAAACUCACGAUACCAGUUAUCUGUUAAUCAAAAUUGCAUUUUACAAUUUAAUAAUGUGCUAUUUCCUAUGUCUACAGCAUACCUUAUUAGGUAUAAAACCUACUGCAACUUAGAAAAAGGAAAGAAAAAAGAAAACUUUUCCAACUGCUGCAUUAAGAUAGGGUGGAUUUUAUAUGCUUUUCUUUUUUAAGAGUUGAAUUUCUUUUCCUGACUUUUACCUUUUACAGCGUAUUACUUAGUGAACAUUACAUUUUCAGAAUAGAUCCUAAUAUUUUAUUGAGGGCCUAUGUGCUAAAAACUAUGCAUAUCUAUAUAUUGGCCAAUUAUCUUUAAUAAUUUACCUUUUGAAAUUGCAUGUUUAUCAUAUAUCCUUAAGGGGACACAUACAGUGCCAUGUUGAUGUGCCUCUCAGUUUUAUUGAAAAGCUGCCCCACAGCCCAUGUCUCUUGUUCUCUGCAAUGCCUCAAGGGAGUGAGCUCUCAACCACAGACAGCUGUGGCUUCUCAGAAGCAGCUCAUUGCCAAGGCCAGGCUGAGAGGGGACCUGCUUGCUGUGGUGGUUGCCUAGCCCAGGUGAGCAUUUACCUACCACCUUCCCCCUUGGCUAGCUGUCCUUUGGAUAUGUGCUGUUAACUGGGGAAGGCAUCUAACUAGUAGCCUGCUACUCCAUAGUAUGGCUCAAUAGAUGACACAUCAUUUUGACAUUAUCAAUAGGAGAAAAGAAAACUAACCCUUCUUCUGAUUGUUUGGAGCCAUAGUUGUCUCAGAUGUUCUAAUUCUCUUUGUAUGCUUGGAAACAGCAUAGAUAUGUUGCUGUGGUUUUCAGAAUUUUCUCUUUUAAUCACAAGAAGCCUUUUAAAAAAUGACUUACACAUAUUCUCAAUGUACAGUAAAACAGACAGAAGUGAGCUUAUCUGUUUGAUGCUGUGGCAGGGUCCCAGUCACUGGGCGUAUCCUCCUUCUCCUUAACCAGCUCCUCAGCAGCCCCUGAGUCACCUGCACAAGGUACUUGGGAACUGCUGGUCAUGAGCAUUCCUGGUUUUCUUCAGCCAAAUAACAGUUAAUCACUGUCAAUUGGAUUUGGUCUUCAUUAUUUUAUAUUCUGAUUUUAUCAGAAUUAUUCUAUUUUAAAAUUGUUUUAAAAUUUAAAAACAUUUAAUUCAUGAUCAUGUUCAUCAGUAGAUGCUAUUAUUCAUAAGAACUGUGAUUCCAGCAAACUAGGGUAAUUGGUGCCUUUUUACAGUUUUGAAUAAAAGCAUUUACAAUUUCUAAAUUAUCAGUUUUCACAGUUUCAGCACUCAACCUCAUCAAACGCUGAUUUAAUAUUGUUUUACAUUAAAAUAGUCCUUUUCCCUGUUGUGCCACCAUUCAUUUAAGUGCUGUUUGUUCUUAAAAUGCAUUUAAAGAAAAAUUACCCAUAUUGACUUUCACACCUCAUAUAAUCAGAUCUAUUACAAAUAUAUAUCGGAGUGACGGUGCCCAGGAUAGAUGUAAUAUUUCUUACAGAUGCUGGCACAGAGGAAAUAAUAUACCAGCUAAUCUAGUCACCUAACCUUGUGGUUAGAAUUGCAAUUUUAAGACCAGAAAAAUUUGAAGUCUGAUCAGAGAUUUACAACUGUUCAUUAUAGUGGUGCCUUAGGCAAUCUUUCCAAAGUAAAUUCAGGGCUCCAUUGCUACUUAUGCCAUAUUUGGACAUACUUUUUUUUCUUCAAUUUUGUAAACUUCCUGGAAAGCUGUCUUCACUAAGUAUCCCCUAGUCUCUAUAUGUGUGGUUAGUAGUCAUGGAAAUGACACAUAAAGUACGCCAGAAGUUUGAUGGAACGUGUUAGAAACUGUUUUGUGCUUUUAUGGAUGUCAUACUUGACAAUACAUGUGUAAGUUACUAAUAUAUGAAUUGAUGCUAAAUAUAUCUUACAUUCGAAUUCCUUUUGGAUAAAGUUAUUUCUUGAUGUGA
RNA transcript from Pan troglodytes (chimpanzee), 6851 nucleotides. It is a transcript of the gene named copine 3, with no coding region annotated. The record is from RefSeq and is a predicted model, not a curated record. The transcript has 18 exons. NCBI's taxonomy places the organism in Eukaryota, Metazoa, Chordata, Mammalia, Primates, Hominidae.